This 245-nucleotide unclassified non-coding RNA is filed under the name uncultured fungus. RNAcentral's name for it is "sequence contains ITS1". RNAcentral also lists the same sequence under 1 other name. Lineage: Eukaryota; Fungi. The record is from RNAcentral.
CCGAGUGGCGCGAAAUUCCUGUCGUGAGACGGGGAAGCUACCCGACCUUUUGUCAUUUUGUCAAGUCUGGCUGGCGGGAUUGCAUUCGUGAGAAAGCGAAUGUGGAUUUCGGCAGACGGACCAAAACUUCGGCGGAAGAGGUAGGCGUGGACCUGCCCGCCGCCGGCCGUAUAAGACAAUACACAUUCUUGAGAGCAAACUGAAGUCUAAGACGAUCCUUGAAAAAGGAAUACCAAAAAAAAGCA